RNAcentral lists this ribosomal RNA (206 nucleotides) under uncultured bacterium. RNAcentral describes it as "partial 16S ribosomal RNA". It matches the Rfam family "Bacterial small subunit ribosomal RNA", at positions 338 to 531 of the family's 1533-position model. The record is from RNAcentral.
CCUACGGGAGGCAGCAGUGGGGAAUAUUGCACAAUGGGCGCAAGCCUGAUGCAGCCAUGCCGCGUGUAUGAAGAAGGCCUUCGGGUUGUAAAGUACUUUCAGCGGGGAGGAAGGUGUUGAGGUUAAUAACCUCAGCAAUUGACGUUACCCGCAGAAGAAGCACCGGCUAACUCCGUGCCAGCAGCCGCGGUAAUAAUCUCUAGAGG